This 1001-nucleotide long non-coding RNA is filed under the name Equus caballus (horse). RNAcentral describes it as "lncRNA (ENSECAG00000042343.2)". Lineage: Eukaryota; Metazoa; Chordata; Mammalia; Perissodactyla; Equidae. The record is from RNAcentral.
GUGUGAAGCACAUCCAUAAAAGCUAGCUGUGUUUUAAAGAAGUUAUGAGAUUUCAAGUAUGCAUAGCUGAUAUAGUAAUGUAACUGAAUUGCUCUAAUAAUAAACUUAACAUUUCUUUCAAUCCUAUAUAGAUUUUGGUCCUUUCUCUACUUCCUGUUGAUAGAAGUAGAAUAUUGAAAUACAAGGAAAAUUAAAAUGGCAGCAUUGACCAAGAAUAUUGCUAUCAUAUGAGAAUGUUUCAGUGGUACCUCCUUGCCAAUGCAUUGAUUUCUCUUUGCUUAUCUUGAUUUUAUAAUUCAGAUGUAUUUUAUGCUUCAUUAUUAAUGAUAGGUGUAGAGUCUUUCUUAUUAGUUCUUGGAUUUUCUAUCUAAGAAAAUUUUGUGAAACAGUAUAUACUAUAACAUUUGAGAACAUUUUCAUAGUUUCUUUUCAUAAAAUAGCAUAAUUAUCACUAUACUUUUAGAUUUUAAUUCCAAAUCUUUAAUUCAACUAAAAUGACAUCAUUUUAUUUUAUUUAUGUAUUUAUUUUGGUGAGGAAGAUUGGCCCUGAGCUAAUAUCUGGUUCCCAUCUUCCUCUUUUUGCUUGAGGAACAUUGUCCCUGAGCUAACAUCUGUGCCAAUCUUCCUCUAUUUUGUAUGUGGGAUGCUGCCACAGCAUGGCAUGAUGAGCAGUGUGUAGGGCCGUGCCUGGGAUCUGAACCCAGGAACCCUGGGCCACCAAGGUGGAGCAUGUGAACUUAACCAGUUUGCCACCAGGCUGGCUCAACAAUCAUUUUAGAGACCAUUUCUUUAAUCAUUGUGUUUUUUAUCCUGUUUCCUUUUUCAGGACCAGGGUUCUGAUCAAGCAGGAAAGGAGAAAGCAAAAGCACUUCAUGAAGUGAACAGUCUUCUUUCAGAGAACUGCUGCCCGUUCCCUUCAUCUUGAAACAAGCUCUUCCCUUGCUUCCUUUGACACAUUCUUAAGAUUUUAUUUGUCUCCCUGGCUGCUCCUUUUAAAUGUC